GUCACAGUUGCGGUAGAAUUGUCGCUGAGAGUAUACGUAUAGGGUGUCUUGGUAGCCCUUGAAGCUGCAACUGUAGAAGACAGAGAAAUCGGAGCCCGACCGGAGGGCCACCGCUUGGUGUUUCUGCGGUCCGGCUGUAUUCUCGAAUGUCAUAUCCUUGGCAAUAAAGCCUUCGCCGGAGACACCUGGGAGAUCAUGAUCAUGAAA
RNAcentral lists this unclassified non-coding RNA (207 nucleotides) under Hevea brasiliensis (rubber tree). Lineage: Eukaryota; Viridiplantae; Streptophyta; Magnoliopsida; Malpighiales; Euphorbiaceae. The record is from RNAcentral.